This 5320-nucleotide long non-coding RNA is filed under the name Anas zonorhyncha (Eastern spot-billed duck). Its description in RNAcentral is "lncRNA (ENSAZOG00000001784.1)". The record is from RNAcentral. Lineage: Eukaryota; Metazoa; Chordata; Aves; Anseriformes; Anatidae.
GUCUGAGGAGGCAGGAGCUGGCACCAGGGACGUGGACGUCACGCAGGGCGGAUGGGAGGACACCCCUAUGCUGGUUGUGCUGAGCUGCCGAUAUCACUGCAGCAUUUCCCAGAGGGAUUAACACUUUCUUCCCUCUCAGGCAAUGCAAACGUUAGCUGCUGGGGUCUGCCACCCAGACAUCAAAGCUCUCAAGGGCACGCCUUGGAAAGCAGGGCUUGGUGAGCACCCAGCUGAGCUGCAGGGAGCAAAGGGAUUGGAUCCAGCAGCUCACAGACAGCCCUCUGCAAAACAUGGAGAGGGGAAAAAGGCCUGCAAGGAACACACAGGCCUCUUCUCCAGGAGGAACCUCACACUGUACUUAGGACAACCAGCACUCAAGCACUCCUCCCUGAUCUAGGCAAACUGCAGAGCAGCAACACACAGGUUUUCCACAGUCCACAGGAACAGAUGUUUCCACUGACAAGUUUGCCUUGCUCAGUUAUUGUUUUUGUUGGUGCUUUCACAGGUCUCAAGUUACUGUGUUUUUGUCCUGUCAAGUGCAGUGACCCAUAUUAACCUUCUCCAUGCAAAUCAAUCACCUACUUAUUUGCCUCCACAUGCUCUGCCUUCAACAGCGGGUUUAUAAUGACGACAGUUAGACACUCAGAAACCAUAUCAUUAGGUCUUCACCUCAGAGGGCAUUGUAGCAACUGGCCUACUUUUCCUCCCUUUAUCUCUGUGCUUAAGGUUUGCCUUUCUCACAGAUAAAGUAAAGGAGAUGGAGAGGGAAAGAGAAACAACAUCUUUCCUGAAAACUGACCCAUUGCAAAGCUUUUAUGCUCAGCUGUAGAAGUAAUUUCUGAUACUCAUACCCAGGACUACAACUGCAGGCAAUUGUCAGCCUUAGUCUUGGCUACUACAUCUUAAUGAUCUCCCAGACUGUAUCAUGUUGUGGGGCUAUGGUGCCUUGCAUCUGUUGGCUGGACAUGCUUGAGCACACACGCUUUUGAGAGUAUUGUAUUUUAAAUAUGUCUUUGUCUUCAGAAAGAAAAAAAAAAAUGGCCAGCAUGGAAACAAAGCUUUAAAAAGAAAAUUUUUGGAGGCAGGAGUGUCAGAGGGCAGGGAGAAGGCUAAUGAAAUGUGUGAGGCAAAAGCAAGAAUUUUCUACUUUUUCACAGUAAUAGCUGGUCAUUUGCACUGAAGUCAGAAAAAAAUCAAAUCAAAUCAAAAUGAAUAAAGCAUUAGGUAACAGACAUUAAGGCAGAAUUACAGUGUCAGAGCAGAGUUGCCUGGAGAAUUAAAUAUAACACAAGUUAGCCAUCUGAUUGCUAUCAGGGAAGAGCACUGGUUCCUCAUAAGAUUCCUCUCUGCAUCACUGACCCAUUCAUUCAUUUGUUGCCUAAUUCAGCACCUCUACCAAUGGAAAAAGAGUCUCAUACCCGUAAACCCUUAUUCUUGUUAUUUUUGUGCACAGGCUUGCACAUGUCUGGCAAGGGUGUGGAGGCCAAAAAAAGAAAAAAAAAAAAAGCACUCAUAUCUCUCCAAAUCCAGGCACAAUGUUUCUGUGGCAGCAUGGGUGAUGUGUUGAGAGCAAGGAAGAGCAUAAAGUUGAGAAACACACAAAAAAAAAGAGAAAUAGGAAGCCAAGUUUGAUGAAAAUAUAUAAUUUUUUGACAACUGUCACCAAAGUUUUAUCAUUUUGGAAAAACAGAAGGGAGAAAAACAUGUCAGGGAACACCUCCAGGCUGGAAAAACCUAAAUAAUACAGCUAAGUAGCUCACAGAUAACAGCUUUCUUUCAUGCAGUCAGCAAAAAGUGUAGGAUUCAUCUAAAAUACAUGUUAUUCUGUAAUACAUGUAAUUCAUGAUUAAAUGAUUAAUUUCUGCAAAUGAUCUUUGUUCUCACACACAGUUUGUGGCAAAUACUUGGUACUCUAAGUUGUUUCACUCUAUUUCAUCUGGCUAAUGAACCCAAACCUUAACUGUUGUCAAGGUUUAAGCUUGGAUUGCUGGAGUGGAUUCAUUCAUUUACUCACCUCAAAAACUCAUUUCAUUUUCCCCACUCUGUUGCAAUGCAUUGGUAUAGCCCUUACACAUCUGUAGAGCAGAGCAUCGCCUCUCUUCAGAGCUGAACAGGGUUGUUUAGGAUGACCAACACCCAGCAAUUGUCAAACAAGAGGAAAACACAAGGCUCUGGGGACACUAACUAGACCAGCAGUUUGCAGCUCUAGGACAUCUCAUGGACAAUUUGAGAAACAUGGAACUGAUACUGCCCAGAUCUACCUGGCCUCAGCUCAUCAGAGGCACAAAAACAGAGCAAAAUCAUCUGCCGGAGAAGCACAAAUGUACAUGUUCCACACAGACUGUAAUAUUUCUGCAGGUGCCUUUGGAAGUAAAUUCAGCCUCUGCACUUUGUAUAGGAUCGUGAUGAAAAGCUUAAUACAAAUAACUGAAAAUAUAUGACAGGUCAUAAGAAAGGAUCGUAGAACAGCUAAAGAGAAAGUAGGGUAAGGCUUUCUACAUACUCCCCCAUAUGUUCACAUGAAGAACGGUGUACUUUCAAAUUAUGAAAUCAUUUCUUAAGCCCAGUUUAACUCAUGAAAUUCAUUACACAACGUAAGUCCAAAGAAAAGAGACCAAUUUCAUUAAAGUGACCUUCUUUGUUUUGAAAAUUACUGGAAAAAGUCGUUAUCCAAUAGCUAUACAUUUCUCCACCAUUAAAAAGCUUUGCAGGAUUCUAAACAAUAACUGAAUCACAUUGUGAAGAAAGAUAAAAAUUGCAGUUACAGUAAAACCUUAAAUUUAAACAGCCAUGAGUUUUUGGGAAUGUUAUAAGCUUUCAUCAUUCAAGGCACACAGUGACUUCUCAGCAAAUGAGCUUAUAAAGAAACUUUUUAGUGCUUCUAUCAAUAAUUCUGCUAUACUGUGCUAAUUAUUGUUCUUGUAUUUACCAACACUUAGAAGACCUUUUAACUCUUGCAGAAUGCUGUGUAUGUACAGACAUAGCUAUUACUAUAUUACUACCAUACUAUUAUGAUUAGUAUAGCUGGUUUUAAAGUCUAUGAAUUAAAACACCCCAAAAAGUCAAUUUCAAAAUAAUAAUUUUACAUUUGAAACAACACAUUUACAUUAAGAACAAAAAUAAACAAACAAACAAACAAACAAAAACUUCUCUUCCUUCAUGUUGUUCUUGGCCUGAAAGAGUUAUAGAUUAGUUACAAAAAUGAAAGUUUAUUUUCAGUUUCCUCUUCUGGGCUUGUAAUGGGUGGAUUUUACACUUUUCAAAUCAUCUAACUCCUCUUUAUUCCUGAAAGUUGCUUCUUCCUAGUUGUCAUUAUUUUCCCCAUUAGUGCUGUGCUGCAGAAGUUGCACUCCUUUGGAUAAUGAGCACUACCCAGCUGCAGUGCUGGCUCUCCUGGCACCACAAUCCACAAGGGCUUUGCAGUUAUCCACCUUGGGGAGGUUCCUACUCACAGCAUGCUGAGAUAACAGGAAAAACACUAGCCUAUAUAAUGUCAUCUUUUGGCAUCUCAGGCUAGUUAUAUCUGACACAUUUAUCCUGAACUAAUACUGUUUGUAUUAAGCCGGUACUAGUCCAGUACAUGGGAUGUAAAGAGCAGACAGAGUAAGAAGGACUUCAGGUUAAACAUAAGUUCUAUUUACAUAUUUUAAGUGAUCAGACUAAUCUGCAUACACAUCUUGAGUGUGACAGUCACUAACAGACCAUAGCAGUUCAAAUAAACCCCUUUAAAGGAGAUAUUACAUUUCUUGGAAGGAGCAGCGAAGUGGUUCUGCAGAGAUCUAUAAAGAUAACAAUAAAUGUCAUAAGGUUUUACAGUAACUUCUCAACCAUAAGGAACCAUGCAAAUGGAGCAGGUCAUACAUUCUGGCAUUCUAGCCAAGCUUCUAGCCAACCUUAUGAAUCUAAAAGCUUGUUCUUGCUAAGAAAUGUGAUAAUAAAGAAGAUGGCAAAGGACUUUAGUCUGUAUUAUAAUGCUAUUUAUACCAUUCCCUUGUUGAUAGAUUGUUUUUGUUGUUGUUUUUCUUUUCAAGAUUUGCACAUAGCUGUGUGAUGUCUUGAAAAUAUUUUUUUUUUUAAAAAGGUUAAAAAAAAUAAUAAUCACAUAUUGCCUAACAUAGUAACACAAUAUUCUUUUCAGAUGAGGAAAAAAAAAAAAAUGAAAGCUUGGCGCAGGUGCACAUAAUUUUCUGUGGUCACAGUUGUCUGAAGCCCUAGAUGAAAGUAUAGAAGAAAGUAAGUUUUUUUCCUACCUGUUUCUUAUUACAGGAAUAUAUAUAUAUAUAUAUAUAUAUAUAUAUAUAUAUUUUACAGGAACAUAUAUAUAUAUAUUUUUUUUUUCAGAGAGGAGAAUAGUAUUGCAAGCAUCUGUAUCUGCAAAACGUAUGCUACAGCCAAACAGUUCCAACCCUGACAACAUAUUAUCAUUUGCAGAUGGUUUUGGAAUAUAGCCUGAAGAAACAGUCCAUUUACAGAUAAUAGCAAAAUGGGGUAAAUAUUUGCUUCUAGGUAAACAUUCAGCUCAAAUACUAUAUUAUACAGCAAAAUACAUUAUAGAUAGUCAUAAAUCGAUCCUAAAGAGUGUAAUAAAUUCUGAAUCGCUUUUCUUUAUCUGCCAAGAGUUUUGGAAUGAUAAAAACUCAUUUGGUGAAAUGUGAACAUUCACAAAUAUCAACGUAUGCUCUCAGGAGUUAAUUUUGUCUAUAUCAUGCUGUUGAAAGUCUAAAAAUACUUAUUAGCUAUUAUAAUUUAUUUCUGAAUAUCAGGUCAGUUAGAAAAAUCUGAUCUUGUAUAUGCUAAAGUAUUUAAACAUAAAUGUCUUGAAGAAGAAGUCGGAUCCCAGAGUUUGCUUUGGCAAGUUAUGCAAUUUAUUCUGUAGUCAGGAAAGUCUUUGUGUAGAAGUACAUCACAGUCAAACAGGAAAGUGAUUUCAUUCCAUCAUGUAUUUGAUCAUGGGCAUGUGGGCAUGACUGCACAUUACAAAACUGAAUUAGCAAUUGAAACAGGCUAAUCUUACUCUAUUCUCUCUCUCUCUCCUUUUUUUUUUUUUUUUGUUANNNNNNNNNNNNNNUUUUUUUUUUUUUUAAUUAGCAGAGACCCAUGCUGGUAAUUGAAGGUCUUAAGCUUGAUGACAGGCUGGAAAGCAUUUCUAUAUACUUAGAAUAUUGAAGGCUGAGAAACACAGUAGCAUCUGUACAUGUAUCUUUUAAGAUCUAUGUACCAUUUUCAGUGACAAAGUGAAAAUUACAAUGACUGAACUUUCAUUUCAGAGAGUAGAAAGUAUACUUUGGUAAAAUCCACCUUGCAACACAUACCAAAGAAG